GGCGUGCGCCACCACGCCCGGAAAGAAGUUCUUUUUCCAUAAAAGGAGCGAGUCUGUGACAUUCUCCCCAGCGUGAAUGGACCUCCAGGACGCCGUCCUCAGCGAGAGACGCCAGACAUGAAGGGCACAGCGUGGGCUUCACGGACAGGAAACUCCCAGGACAGCUGGCUGCAGUGCACCACGUCCUCUGGGUACUACGGAGCGCGGCAAGUAGAGGACCUGGACCGUCUUGCGGGCCUUCACCCUGCCUUUCAGCAGCAGGGUCAGGCUCAGCCUGCCCCCUCCCCGUUUCUGGCACCUUCAGCAGCAUGAGGUCGUGGUCCAGCCUGGGCAGUGGCACAUAGUACAGGUGCCGGAUAGCUGCCUCGAUGUGGAAGCUGAGGCUGGGGCCCUUGCAGUCGUGGAGACCCACUCCACCAUCAGCUCCUCUUCCUGCUGACACCAGGUCCCCAGAGUGUGCAGCUGUGACCAUCACCCUCAGCCUCCCCUGCUCUUGCUCCUGCCCCUGCCCAGCCCAGGCUGCUGUGGGAUGUGGGUCCACAAGUUUUCAGAGCUUUGCCUGAACCAGGGAGACAAAUCUUCCCACAAGGCUCCAGGGAUCCACCCUUGCCUCCCUGUGGAGAGGCUCAUGUGGGCUGCUGGAUCAAACUGCACCUGAAGCUAGGCCUCCUGGACUUCUUAGGACCCCACCAGCCCAGUCCCUGUGAAGCAGCCAGAAGUCAGCUUUAAAAUGAAAUCAAGGACCUGGCACGGUGGUGGUGCACACCUGUAAUCCCAGCAC
This is a long non-coding RNA of Fukomys damarensis (Damara mole-rat), 781 nucleotides long. RefSeq lists it as uncharacterized. NCBI's taxonomy places the organism in Eukaryota, Metazoa, Chordata, Mammalia, Rodentia, Bathyergidae. The transcript has 4 exons. The record is from RefSeq and is a predicted model, not a curated record.